This is a long non-coding RNA of Symphalangus syndactylus (siamang), 513 nucleotides long. RefSeq lists it as uncharacterized. Lineage: Eukaryota; Metazoa; Chordata; Mammalia; Primates; Hylobatidae. The record is from RefSeq and is a predicted model, not a curated record.
AGCCCGCCCUCCCUCUGAGAGUGUAUAACUGUGCUUCAGUAAGCUUUGUUUCGAGCUUGCAUUUUAGUGUUAGUUUGCUCACUAUCACAAAAACCGAGACUGCUGAUCUAGACCUCCAGCUCUGUUGAUCUCCUUGGCUGAAGGGUCCAUCCCAACUCAGGACCCCCGAAUGUCCUGUAUCAUUUUAAUGACUGUGGAGUGUGACUUUGUUCUCAGCAUAAUGAGUAACAAAGCCAAAACACUGGAGAAUACGUUUAUGUAUUCAAGAAAACCUCAGACAGGGCAGAAUGCUUUCAUAACACAGUACAUUCAAACCAGACGAAGCCUCGAAGGGCAGAAUCACCGACCCUGAAAAAUCUCAAGCUGGAAAUCAGAGUGUACUACAGUAGAAGACAACAGCAUUUGAGCACAUUUGUUGAAGCAGCCUCCUCUCCCUUACGGUACGAUAAUCCCACACUGUUUUACCAUGCUCUCUGGCCUUCCCAGAACAUCAGUAAAAACUGCAUCCCCUGA